UACGGAGGAUGCGAGCGUUAUCCGGAUUUAUUGGGUUUAAAGGGUGCGUAGGCGGAGUGUCAAGUCAGCGGUAAAAUUUCGGGGCUCAACCUCGUCGAGCCGUUGAAACUGGGUGCCUUGAGUGGGCGAGAAGUAAGCGGAAUGCGUGGUGUAGCGGUGAAAUGCAUAGAUAUCACGCAGAACGCCGAUUGCGAAGGCAGCAUACCGGCGCUCAACUGACGCUCAUGCACGAAAGCGUGGGUAUCGAACAGG
RNAcentral lists this ribosomal RNA (252 nucleotides) under uncultured Bacteroidales bacterium. RNAcentral's name for it is "partial 16S ribosomal RNA". It matches the Rfam family "Bacterial small subunit ribosomal RNA", at positions 524 to 776 of the family's 1533-position model. The record is from RNAcentral. Lineage: Bacteria; Pseudomonadati; Bacteroidota; Bacteroidia; Bacteroidales.